GUAAACUCCAUCUAAGGCUAACGACGACGAGAGCGAUAGCGAACAAGUACCGUGAGGGAAAAUUGAAAAGAACUUUGAAGAGAGAGAAAGAACUUUCAAGAGUACGUAAAACCGUUCAGAGGUAAACCUAAGAAACCCAAAAGAUCGAACGGGGAGAUUCAUCGUCAGCGACGCUGGCUUCGCGUCGGUGGGCGAUGUCCCGCGGGGCCUCGCGGCUCGCAGCGCGGACACGCUGCCGUGCGUCGAUGUCCGGCGUUCGUCGUCGUGCACUUCUCCCCUGGUAGAACGUCGCGACCCGUUGGGUGUCGAUCUACGGGUGCAGUGACUGACGCGCCGCCCAUAAAACGGCACGCGUCAAACCCUCGGUCGCCCGGCCGGCUAUCCGGCGGUACANGCAAGGUGUCAGGCCGCAUCUCAAUCACACGAGUGCGUCGAGGCCGUCGCAAGCGCGCGCCAAGGUACACGGAGGCUAACGGACCUAGCGCCAUCAUCGGUCCUGGCCCGCUGUUGGUCGUACGGUUAACCUUCGACAGGCCUACGAACCGUCGCCCCCGGGGUUCGUCCUCGAGCGGGGACCGAUACCGGUCGGCGACGCUACUGCUUUGGGUAC
This 610-nucleotide ribosomal RNA is filed under the name Pheidole pugnax. RNAcentral's name for it is "partial 28S ribosomal RNA". It matches the Rfam family "Eukaryotic large subunit ribosomal RNA", at positions 299 to 620 of the family's 3401-position model. Lineage: Eukaryota; Metazoa; Arthropoda; Insecta; Hymenoptera; Formicidae. The record is from RNAcentral.